Molecule: ribosomal RNA, 460 nt
Filed under: uncultured bacterium
Lineage: Bacteria
Description: partial 16S ribosomal RNA
Rfam family: Bacterial small subunit ribosomal RNA
Source: RNAcentral
CCUACGGGAGGCAGCAGUGAGGAAUCUUCGUCAAUGGGCGAGAGCCUGAACCAGCCAAGUCGCGUGAAGGAUGACGGCCCUACGGGUUGUAAACUUCUUUUGUCAGGGAGCAAUUGAGUCCACGUGUGGUCUUAGCGAGAGUACCUGAAGAAAAAGCAUCGGCUAACUCCGUGCCAGCAGCCGCGGUAAUACGGAGGAUGCGAGCGUUAUCCGGAUUUAUUGGGUUUAAGGGGUGCGUAGGCGGAAUAUCAAGUCAGCGGUAAAAAUUCGGGGCUCAACCCCGUCGUGCAGUUGAAACUGAUGUUCUUGAGUGGGCGAGAGGUGUGCGGAAUGCGUGGUGUAGCGGUGAAAUGCAUAGAUAUCACGCAGAACUCCGAUUGCGAAGGUAGCAUACCGGCGCCCAACUGACGCUGAAGCACGAAAGCGUGGGUAGCGAACAGGAUUAGAUACCCGAGUAGUC